AUCGCUUCUCGGCCUUUUGGCUGAGAUCAAAUGUAGUAUCUGUUCUUAUCAGUCUAGUGUCUGAUAUGUCCUCCACCUGAGGACAAUAUAUUGAACGGGUUUUUGGAGCAGGAAAAAAAAAAUGUUCUUUGAAUUGAUAAAUGAGCACAUGAGAC
Molecule: small nuclear RNA, 155 nt
Organism: Myotis lucifugus (little brown bat)
Lineage: Eukaryota; Metazoa; Chordata; Mammalia; Chiroptera; Vespertilionidae
Gene: U2
Rfam family: U2 spliceosomal RNA
About the family: U2 is a small nuclear RNA (snRNA) component of the spliceosome (involved in pre-mRNA splicing). Complementary binding between U2 snRNA (in an area lying towards the 5' end but 3' to hairpin I) and the branchpoint sequence (BPS) of the intron results the bulging out of an unpaired adenosine, on the BPS, which initiates a nucleophilic attack at the intronic 5' splice site, thus starting the first of two transesterification reactions that mediate splicing.
Source: Ensembl